Monodelphis domestica (gray short-tailed opossum) is the source of this 712-nucleotide long non-coding RNA. RefSeq lists it as uncharacterized. NCBI's taxonomy places the organism in Eukaryota, Metazoa, Chordata, Mammalia, Didelphimorphia, Didelphidae. The record is from RefSeq and is a predicted model, not a curated record.
UGCUCUGCUCUGCCCCCAUCCCCACCCCAGAGACCACAUGCCAUGUUCUACUCCCCUACUGAGUGCUGAGCAUGAUCUCCCCCCUCCCACAUACUCCACCAGGGGAGGGAGAAAGAACUUCCAUUGGACUGUUGGACAGAGGGGUGGGUAAAGUGAAGAAUGUCCUCAGAGAACUCAUCUAGAACCUUUGGAAUCCUAUGUAUCCCAUGUCCCAGUCAUUUCCUAGGUAGCCAAAACUCCCAGACAAUAUUAUGCUACAGCCAGAGCUUGAAGAAAGAGUUCAUCUAAGGCAUCUGUGCAAGGAAAUUUACUGCCAAAUGGAAAUAACUUCACCAGGUCCCUGGGCCAGCUACUUUCCUCUGGAAAUUCUAUUGCUACCUACCCUAAGCAAUUAACUGUAAACUUAGAACUAGAAAAGUCAGAAAAGGAAAAAAGGAGAUCUUCCCAGCUAAUUAAAGUUGAUAUCAUCUCCUGGUUCUUGUCAGCUAAAGUUAUUUGGAUUAUAAGAUGAUUGGCUUGACAAAAUUUCCCCCUAAAGUCUCCAUCCAUAUUUAGACAAAGGUUUACAAGAAAAAUAAAAACACAUCCUAAAUGAUACUCUACCUGAACUUAGGCUUGUCCAUUUUUAUUUUGUUAAUGAUUACUGUUAAUGGAAAUGAAUUAAGCAAGACUGACCAAUAUAGCUGAGGUAGAGACUAUGUAUCUAGAAUUU